UAAACGUGUAAGACGUAUGCGAGAAAUGGACCAUGAACAAUACUUUAAAUAUACAAGAAUGACACCGGCAGUAUUUGAUAAUUUGUUAAGCAUUGUUGGACCACAUCUGCAGAGACACAAGAAAAAAUCACAUAUUUCUCCAGCUGAGCGACUAACCUUAACAUUACAUUAUCUGGCCGAAGGAUGCUCUAUGCAAGAGAUUGCAACAAAUUUUUACAUGGGGAAAACGACUGUUCAUAUCAUAAUUAAGCAAACAUGCUCAGUUUUAUGGGAUGUGUUGUCACCCAUACAUUUAAAACCGCCAACUGGAACUGAAUUUGUAAAGAUUUCCAAAGGUUUUUAUCAAAGGUGGAACAUGCCUAAUUGCCUUGGUGCUUUAGAUGGCAAGCACAUUCAAAUUCAAGCUCCUGCACAUAGUGGCAGUGAUUUUUUUAAUUAUAAAAAAACUAGCAGUAUUGUUUUAAUGGCAGCAUGUGAUGCUUUUUACCGUUUUACGUUGGUUGAUGUUGGUGGUUAUGGCUCACAACAUGAUAGCAUUGUAUUCUCAGAAUCUGCAUUUGGUCAAGCCAUUUUAAAAAAUCAAAACGAUGUUCUUGAUUUACCCGAUGCUAAACAACUACCUGGAACUUCAGUUUCAUUACCUUUUUUUUUGUGGCAGAUCAGGCUUUUCCACUGCAUAAACGUAUUAUGCGACCCUAUCCAGGGGAACGACUAGGGGAAAAUAAAGAAAUAUUUAACUACAGGUUGUCCCGUGCUCGACGAACGAUUGAAAAUACAUUCGGUAUCCUGUCAGCACGUUGGAGAAUCUUUCGGCGACCGAUUGUCGCUAAUGUGACAACCUGUGAGGCUAUUGUUAAGGCAUGUGUUGUUCUUCACAAUUUCCUCCAAGUUAAAGAAGAGGACAUACCAAUGGGUAGCAGAAAGUAUUGUCCUACUGGAUUUGGAGACGAGGUAGAUAUAAAUGGGGGCCUGCGUCCGGGACAAUGGCGCAAUGAAUCAAACAUGUUACGUCCAGUUGGUCGGCUUGGUUCUAAUUUUUCAACCCGGAUUGUACGGCAAAAUCGAGAAUUAUUAACCGCCUACUUUGCCAGUGCACAAGGAAAAGUAAGCUGGCAAUAUGACCAUAUUGCAGAAGGCUCUCUGCCAAGUUAAAAUUGAACAAAUUAUACUAACAUUUUAUAUGCAUGCAUUGUAUUUUUUCUUAAUAUUGUUCCAUAUAAAUAUAUAUAGAAAUAAACCUAUGGUACUAAAAUACUUAUAUAUACAUCGA
Molecule: long non-coding RNA, 1270 nt
Organism: Photinus pyralis (common eastern firefly)
Lineage: Eukaryota; Metazoa; Arthropoda; Insecta; Coleoptera; Lampyridae
Exons: 4
Source: RefSeq, a predicted model, not a curated record